AAGUCGCCUGUUUAUCAAAAACAUGUCCUAUUGUGUUAUUUAAUAGGUCUGGCCUGCCCAGUGAUAAUUUUAACGGCCGCGGUAUAUUGACCGUGCAAAGGUAGCAUAAUCAUUAGUCUUUUAAUAGGAGGCUGGAAUGAAAGGUUUAACGAGAAAUUAGCUGUCUCAAUUACAAUUUUGAAUUUAUCUUUUGAGUCAAAAGACUUAAAUAUAAUUGGUGGACGAGAAGACCCUAUAGAGCUUGACAAUUUUUUUUUUAUAAUUAUUUAGUGAAUUAUUUAUUUAUAUUAAAAAAAUUGUUUUGUUGGGGUGACAAUAAAUAUAUAUUUAACUUUUAUCAUGAUAUUUACAUUAAUUUAUGAUUUUUGGAUCCAAAAUUUUUGAUCAUUAGACUAAGUUACCUUAGGGAUAACAGCGUAAUCUUCCCUCAGAGUUCAUAUUUACGGGAAGGGUUGCGACCUCGAUGUUGGAUUAAGAUAAUAAUUAGGUGCAGUAGCUUAAUUAAUAGGUCUGUUCGACCUUAAAUCU
Molecule: ribosomal RNA, 528 nt
Filed under: Ischnura rufostigma
Lineage: Eukaryota; Metazoa; Arthropoda; Insecta; Odonata; Coenagrionidae
Description: partial large subunit ribosomal RNA
Rfam family: Bacterial large subunit ribosomal RNA
Source: RNAcentral